AGCGAACGCUGGCGGCAGGCCUAACACAUGCAAGUCGAACGAACUCUUCGGAGUUAGCGGCGGACGGGUGAGUAACACGUGGGUAACCUACCUAUAAGACUGGGAUAACUUCGGGAAACCGGAGCUAAUACCGGAUAAUAUUUCGAACCGCAUGGUUCGAUAGUGAAAGAUGGCUCUGCUAUCACUUAUAGAUGGACCUGCGCCGUAUUAGCUAGUUGGUAAGGUAACGGCUUACCAAGGCAACGAUACGUAGCCGACCUGAGAGGGUGAUCGGCCACACUGGAACUGAGACACGGUCCAGACUCCUACGGGAGGCAGCAGUAGGGAAUCUUCCGCAAAGGGCGAAAGCCUGACGGAGCAACGCCGCGUGAGUGAUGAAGGUCUUCGGAUCGUAAAACUCUGUUAUUAGGGAAGAACAAACGUGUAAGUAACUGUGCACGUCUUGACGGUACCUAAUCAGAAAGCCACGGCUAACUACGUG
This 481-nucleotide ribosomal RNA is filed under the name uncultured bacterium. RNAcentral's name for it is "partial 16S ribosomal RNA". It matches the Rfam family "Bacterial small subunit ribosomal RNA", at positions 29 to 507 of the family's 1533-position model. The record is from RNAcentral.